CCCCCACACUGGUACUGAGACACGGACCAGACUCCUACGGGAGGCAGCAGUGAGGAAUAUUGGUCAAUGGGCGCGAGCCUGAACCAGCCAAGUCGCGUGAGAGAUGACGGCCCUACGGGUUGUAAACCUCUUUUGUCGGGGAGCAAAUUCCGCCACGCGUGGCGGAGUCGAGAGUACCCGAAGAAAAAGCAUCGGCUAACUCCGUGCCAGCAGCCGCGGUAAUACGGAGGAUGCGAGCGUUAUCCGGAUUUAUUGGGUUUAAAGGGUGCGUAGGCGGACUGUCAAGUCAGCGGUAAAAUACGGGGGCUCAACCUCCGCCCGCCGUUGAAACUGACGCUCUUGAGUGGGCGAGAAGUAUGCGGAAUGCGUGGUGUAGCGGUGAAAUGCAUAGAUAUCACGCAGAACUCCGAUUGCGAAGGCAGCAUACCGGCGCCCAACUGACGCUGAAGCACGAAAGCGUGGGUAUCGAACAGGAUUAGAUACCCUGGUAGUC
RNAcentral lists this ribosomal RNA (493 nucleotides) under uncultured bacterium. RNAcentral's name for it is "bacterial SSU rRNA". It matches the Rfam family "Bacterial small subunit ribosomal RNA", at positions 305 to 795 of the family's 1533-position model. The record is from RNAcentral.